This 468-nucleotide ribosomal RNA is filed under the name uncultured bacterium. RNAcentral's name for it is "partial 16S ribosomal RNA". It matches the Rfam family "Bacterial small subunit ribosomal RNA", at positions 28 to 507 of the family's 1533-position model. The record is from RNAcentral.
GACGAACGCUGGCGGCGUGCUUAACACAUGCAAGUCGAACGGAAAGGCCCUGCUUUUGUGGGGUGCUCGAGUGGCGAACGGGUGAGUAACACGUGAGUAACCUGCCCUUGACUUUGGGAUAACUUCAGGAAACUGGGGCUAAUACCGGAUAGGAGCUCCUGCUGCAUGGUGGGGGUGGGAAAGUUUAGGCGGUUGGGGAUGGACUCGCGGCUUAUCAGCUUGUUGGUGGGGUAGUGGCUUACCAAGGCUUUGACGGGUAGGCGGCCGGAGAGGGUGACCGGCGACAUUGGGACUGAGAUACGGCGCAGACUCCUACGGGAGGCAGCAGUGGGGAAUAUUGCACAAUGGGCGGAAGCCUGAUGCAGCAACGCCGCGUGCGGGAUGACGGCCUUCGGGUUGUAAACCGCUUUCGCCUGUGACGAAGCGUGAGUGACGGUAAUGGGUAAAGAAGCACCGGCUAACUACGUG